Long non-coding RNA from Dioscorea cayenensis subsp. rotundata (Guinea yam), 428 nucleotides. RefSeq lists it as uncharacterized. The record is from RefSeq and is a predicted model, not a curated record. The transcript is spliced from 2 exons. Lineage: Eukaryota; Viridiplantae; Streptophyta; Magnoliopsida; Dioscoreales; Dioscoreaceae.
CAAAGCAAGUAAAGCACAAGAACUUGAAACUUUAUUUAAAAGCUUUUUUGUUUAGAGAGAUGGCAUCAAUGAAGGCCACUAGACCAGUUGGGAUCUCUGAUAGUAGUACCAAGGGAGCUGAUGUUAAGGCCCCUUCAGCAUCUAAGCAGGCUCCCAAGAAGACUGAAUCCAAGGCUUCUGAAUCUAAGAAGGCUAAGGGUGGAAAAUCAUCAGCCAAGAAGAAGUGAAAAAGCUGGAGGAAAUUGAGUGAGACAGCUCCAACUUAAAUAAUGUUUAGGGCUUGAACCUUUAAUUUGAUGUUUAUUUCCUUUUAUGUGAUGUUUGGAAGGGAUGAUCAUUAUGAUCUGAACUCAGUGUGGUGUUGUUGAAUGAAAAAAAUAAAUAAAUAAUAAUUUUAAUAGAAAUAAAAAUCUGGUAUUGAAGUAGUA